CAGGGAUUGCCCUAGUAACGGCGAGUGAAGCGGCAACAGCUCAAAUUUGAAAUCUGGCCUCGGCCCGAGUUGUAAUUUGCAGAGGAAGCUUUAGGCGCGGCACCUUCUGAGUCCCCUGGAACGGGGCGCCAUAGAGGGUGAGAGCCCCGUAUAGUUGGAUGCCUAGCCUGUGUAAAGCUCCUUCGACGAGUCGAGUAGUUUGGGAAUGCUGCUCAAAAUGGGAGGUAAAUUUCUUCUAAAGCUAAAUACCGGCCAGAGACCGAUAGCGCACAAGUAGAGUGAUCGAAAGAUGAAAAGCACUUUGAAAAGAGGGUUAAAUAGCACGUGAAAUUGUUGAAAGGGAAGCGCUUGUGACCAGACUUGCGCCGGGCUGAUCAUCCGGUGUUCUCACCGGUGCACUCUGCCCGGCUCAGGCCAGCAUCGGUUCUCGCGGGGGGAUAAAGGCCCAGGGAACGUAGCUCCUCCGGGAGUGUUAUAGCCCUGGGUGCAAUGCCCUCGCGGGGACCGAGGUUCGCGCAUCUGCAAGGAUGCUGGCGUAAUGGUCACCAGCGACCCGUCUUGAAACACGGACCAAGGAGUCAAGGUUUUGCGCGAGUGUUUGGGUGUAAAACCCGCACGCGUAAUGAAAGUGAACGUAGGUGAGAGCUUCGGCGCAUCAUCGACCGAUCCUGAUGUUUUCGGAUGGAUUUGAGUAGGAGCGUUAAGCCUUGGACCCGAAAGAUGGUGAACUAUGCUUGGAUAGGGUGAAGCCAGAGGAAACUCUGGUGGAGGCUCGCAGCGGUUCUGACGUGCAAAUCGAUCGUCAAAUCUGAGCAUGGGGGGCGAAAGACUAAUCGAACCAUCU
Molecule: ribosomal RNA, 844 nt
Filed under: Arcopilus cupreus
Lineage: Eukaryota; Fungi; Ascomycota; Sordariomycetes; Sordariales; Chaetomiaceae
Description: partial large subunit ribosomal RNA
Rfam family: Eukaryotic large subunit ribosomal RNA
Source: RNAcentral